GUGAGGAAUUUUCCGCAAUGGGAGAAAGCCUGACGGAGCAAUGCCGCGUGAAGGAUGAAGGCCUAUGGGUUGUAAACUUCUUUUCUCAGAAAAGAAUUAUGACGGUAUCUGAGGAAUAAGCAUCGGCUAACUCUGUGCCAGCAGCCGCGGUAAGACAGAGGAUGCAAGCGUUAUCCGGAAUGAUUGGGCGUAAAGCGUCUGUAGGUUGUUUAAAAAGUAUUCUGUCAAAGAUUAGGGCUUAACCCUAGAUAGGCAGAAUAAACUUUUAAGCUAGAGUUUGGUAGAGGCAGAGGGAAUUCCCGGUGGAGCGGUGAAAUGCGUAGAUAUCGGGAGGAACACCAAAGGCGAAGGCACUCUGCUGGGCCAAUACUAACACUGAGAGACGAAAGCGAGGGGAGCAAAUGGGAUUAGAUACCCUUGUAGUCC
Molecule: ribosomal RNA, 426 nt
Filed under: uncultured bacterium
Lineage: Bacteria
Description: partial 16S ribosomal RNA
Rfam family: Bacterial small subunit ribosomal RNA
Source: RNAcentral